RNAcentral lists this ribosomal RNA (253 nucleotides) under uncultured bacterium. RNAcentral's name for it is "partial 16S ribosomal RNA". It matches the Rfam family "Bacterial small subunit ribosomal RNA", at positions 524 to 776 of the family's 1533-position model. The record is from RNAcentral.
UACGAAGGGUGCAAGCGUUACUCUGAAUUACUGGGCGUAAAGCGUGCGUAGGUGGUGAGUUAAGUCUGUCGUGAAAGCCCCGGGCUCAACCUGGGAAUGGCGAUGGAUACUGGCUCGCUAGAGUGCGGUAGAGGAGAGUGGAAUUCCCGGUGUAGCAGUGAAAUGCGUAGAGAUCGGGAGGAACAUCAGUUGCGAAGGCGGCUCUCUGGACCAGCACUGACACUGAGGCACGAAAGCGUGGGGAGCAAACAGG